RNAcentral lists this ribosomal RNA (484 nucleotides) under uncultured bacterium. Its description in RNAcentral is "partial 16S ribosomal RNA". It matches the Rfam family "Bacterial small subunit ribosomal RNA", at positions 30 to 507 of the family's 1533-position model. The record is from RNAcentral.
AUUGAACGCUGGCGGCAGGCCUAACACAUGCAAGUCGAGCGGAUGAAGGGAGCUUGCUCCUGGAUUCAGCGGCGGACGGGUGAGUAAUGCCUAGGAAUCUGCCUGGUAGUGGGGGAUAACGUCCGGAAACGGGCGCUAAUACCGCAUACGUCCUGAGGGAGAAAGUGGGGGAUCUUCGGACCUCACGCUAUCAGAUGAGCCUAGGUCGGAUUAGCUAGUUGGUGGGGUAAAGGCCUACCAAGGCGACGAUCCGUAACCGGUCUGAGAGGAUGAUCAGUCACACUGGAACUGAGACACGGUCCAGACUCCUACGGGAGGCAGCAGUGGGGAAUAUUGGACAAUGGGCGAAAGCCUGAUCCAGCCAUGCCGCGUGUGUGAAGAAGGUCUUCGGAUUGUAAAGCACUUUAAGUUGGGAAGAAGGGCAGUAAGUUAAUACCUUGCUGUUUUGACGUUACCAACAGAAUAAGCACCGGCUAACUUCGUG